UGGAUGAGAAUUUCAAUUUUCAUGUUCUGUGGUAAAGACAGUCUAGCACAGAGUGUGCUCUCUUUAGGUCUUCCCAGAGCUCAUCAUCUAGACUGGUUCUGUUGAUUCAGUGUGUCCUUAACAAAGUAGUGACUUACCUGGCAGACUGGGAAUAAAGGGCUGCUUUCUCCAUCUCUAAAUGGAGCUCAGCUCCCCGACGGCUUUUCUACUAAAUGGAGGAAAAAGUGCAGGAUCUGAACUGUUAUAAAUUCAAAAGUCUACUCAUGUUGUGUGACCAUUACAGGACAAAAUGAAAGAUAUACUGGAAUCAUUUUUAAACAGCAAAACACAAAGGGUGUCACAUCCACUUCUGCGAAGUCUCCAAUUCCAAUUUUCCCAGCCAACAAGCAUGCCACGUGACAUUCAAGAAAACAUCUAUCUCUAUAUUCAAUCUCCAAUCACCUUAAGUUUGGUACUCAUACCAGAGCUGUUAAACAGCUGCCAUCACCAAAGACUUACCAAAGGCACCUUCUGUUUGCGAUCAGCUAAUGUACAGUGCAGCAGCUUCCAAAUUCCUGGAGUCAUUAUGGAGGAAAUGGAGAGUCUGGAACAACUGCCUAAGCUCAGCAAGAUCUGGGCACUACCAUAUGCCUUCCACUUGUUAAUGGCCUUUACUGUGCUCCACUGGAUGCUUGGAUAUUUGCCUACCUUACAAGAUCUCCAAACCGGUUCACAUUUGUGUCUGUAUGUGAUCCAUUAGUUUUAAAAGGCCGCAGCACUGGAAAAAAGCUGCAUGCACAUGUUUUUGAAAUUACUGCCACAUAGAUAAUUCACCUAUAUAGUGAAAAACAAAAAAUGAUGUUUGCGAGGCAAUCUAUCAUGGCCAUAGUGAUAAAAUAAAGAAAAUUGGCAGUAUAAGGCUUUACCACAAAGGUUAUUUGAUCUGAGGGUCGGCUGAUUGUUCUCCUCCAUUUUUCUUUUAUGUUAUCCAUUGCCAACACUUGAAUGAUGAAUAAUGUGAUAUGUGCAUGCAUAGUGAGUGGAGAAUAAAAAAGACACAUGAGCUCCAGUGUAACUCUUCAUAUUUAUACUUGCAUAUCCACAGCAGGAGAAAAUACUGGAUUACAUGUACAUAUGUUGACUUUCAAUGAAUGAAGUCUGUAACACAGUAUCUGUAUAGUUUUACAAUAUUUCUGUACUAUUUCAACCAAUUCAAUCCAAUUUAAAAAUGGAUUGUUUUGUAUACAAAGGGUCAGGCUUAGUUAUAUAGCCUAUUCAUGGCAUGUGGUCUAUUAUUCCUCUAUUCAAAUGUGUAACUUUGGUUUGAGAAGAGUGUGGGGGGGCACAAAAUGAGGGAAAAUGUUUUUGAUUUGAAUCCUAUUUCCUGCAUUUACAUACAUUUAGGGACUAUGGUGAUACAAAAUCCAGGAAAUAAUUAAGUUAAUUAUAAUGAUAAAUUCUGCAAAAAAAAAAAAAAAAAAUA
This is a long non-coding RNA of Hemibagrus wyckioides, 1462 nucleotides long. RefSeq lists it as uncharacterized. Lineage: Eukaryota; Metazoa; Chordata; Actinopteri; Siluriformes; Bagridae. The record is from RefSeq and is a predicted model, not a curated record. The transcript is spliced from 4 exons.